CCUCCUGUCACCACCUCGCCGCCACCCUCUCGUCUCUCUUCCCGGUACCCGGCAGACGAACGAGAGGAAGGUGAGGUCGCCGCUGAUUGGCUGCCCGCGGGGCGAAGGAAGAUGGCUCCUGAUUGGCUGAGGGCCCACGAAGGGCAGUUGAGACAUUGCGACUCCGAGCAGGCACGGGCAAGACCAAGACGGCAGCUGCCAAGACGCUCAAGAAUUCCCAUUCCCAUGCCUCCU
Molecule: long non-coding RNA, 234 nt
Organism: Phycodurus eques (leafy seadragon)
Lineage: Eukaryota; Metazoa; Chordata; Actinopteri; Syngnathiformes; Syngnathidae
Exons: 3
Source: RefSeq, a predicted model, not a curated record